UGAAUACGAGACGCUAAGGCGUCGAAGUAGUGUAUGUCAUACUUCCAAGAAAAGCUUGCACUGUCAUAGAUAAAAAACGCCUGUACCAUAACCGACACAGGUGGGUAGGUAGAGUAUACUAAGGGGCGCGAGAUAACUCUCUCUAAGGAACUCGGCAAAAUAACUCCGUAACUUCGGGAGAAGGAGUGCCUUAUUCGUAAGGUUGCAAUAACAGGAUCCAAGCAACUGUUUAUCAAAAACACAGGUCUCCGCUAAGUCGUAAGACGAUGUAUGGGGGCUGACGCCUGCCCAGUGCCAGAAGGUUAAAGAAGUUGGUUAGCAAUUGCGAAGCUGAUAACUGAAGCCCUGGUGAACGGCGGCCGUAACGAUAACGGUCCUAAGGUAGCGAAAUUCCUUGUCGGGUAAGUUCCGACCCGCACGAAAGGCGUAAUGAUUUGGAUACUGUCUCGGAGAGGGGCUCGGUGAAAUAGACUUGUCUGUGAAGAUGCGGACUACCUGCACCAGGACAGAAAGACCCUAUGAAGCUUUACUGUAACUUGAAAUUGAAAUUGGACUUUAUUCGCGCAGUAUAGGUGGGAGGCGUUGAUUAUAAUCUUGUGGGAUUAUUGGAGCCAUCAGUGAGAUACCACUCUUGUAAUGUUAGAUUUCUAACUUUGAAUCAUUAUCUGGUCAAAGAACAGUUUCAGGCGGGCAGUUUGACUGGGGCGGUCGCCUCCUAAACGGUAACGGAGGCGUACAAAGGUUUCCUCUGAACGGUUAGAAAUCGUAUCUAGAGUGUAAAGGCAUAAGGAAGCUUGACUGUGAGACCUACAAGUCGAGCAGGGACGAAAGUCGGUCUUAGUGAUCUGACGGUACUGAGUGGAAAGGCCGUCACUCAACGGAUAAAAGUUACUCUAGGAUAACAGGCUGAUCUCCCCCAAGAGUUCACAUCGACGGGGAGGUUUGGCACCUUGAUGUCGGCUCAUCGCAUCCUGGGGCGGUAGUACGUCCCAAGGGUUGGGCUUUUCGCCCAUGAAAGCGGUACGCGAGCUGGGUUCAGAACGUCGUGAGACAGUUCGGUCCAUAUCCGGUGUAGGCGUUAGAAUAUUGAGAGGAGCCUUCUUUAGUACGAGAGGACCGAGAAGGACAUACCUCUGGUGUACCAGUUAUCGUGCCAACGGUAAACGCUGGGUAGCUAUGUAUGGAGUGGAUAACCGCUGAAAGCAUCUAAGUGGGAAGCCCACCUCAAGAUAAGUAUUCUCAU
This 1243-nucleotide ribosomal RNA is filed under the name metagenome. RNAcentral describes it as "bacterial LSU rRNA". It matches the Rfam family "Bacterial large subunit ribosomal RNA", at positions 1564 to 2817 of the family's 2925-position model. The record is from RNAcentral.